Molecule: long non-coding RNA, 9837 nt
Filed under: Zea mays
Lineage: Eukaryota; Viridiplantae; Streptophyta; Magnoliopsida; Poales; Poaceae
Description: long non-coding RNA (ZMAY_LNC002125)
Source: RNAcentral
GCGCUAACCCUAACCCUCACCGCCUGGCGCCUCACGAACACAGCCGCCUGCCGUUGUGCCCAGGCACUUAGCCUUCCACUGCCCGCCGAGCCGUCGAGGCGAGACCGAGCCUACUGCCGCUGGCCGCUGUGCCUAGCCUUCCGCCGUCCGCCGAGCUGUCGAGGGGAGACCGAGCCUUCCGUCGCUGCCCUCUGUGCCCAACCUUCCGCCCUUCCGACCAUGCGCUGACGCCGUCCGCGGUCCGUCGUUGUGCCGAGCCGCCGAUGUGCCCACUGCCUAGUGGCCCCAGCCGUCCGGCCUUCUGUGCUGAGCCCGCGAGCCGUCGUUCGUUGCUCGUCUGUUGUACCCAGGCGGCCAGGCGCCCAGCCCUCCAGCCACGCGCCCAUGCGGGCCACGCCACGCCUGUGCCUUCCGCGGUCCGCCGCUGUGCGCAUGUGCCUUCCGAGCUGUAACAGUAAGCAAAGCAAACAACUGCUUGUCUGUUGAAUAAUUUGAUUGUUUGAAUGUUGAUGUUUGUCACAAACAUGCAGAGUUGAUAUAUUUGGAGGAUUGUUCAAAGGGCUUCAUCUUCAAAAUAUUAAGAAGACAUUUCAAAAGAAGAAGGAUAGGCAAAUACAACUGCCUAGAACUCCGAGACAUAUAUAGCAAAUUCUGAGGUAUGACAGUUACAUAUUUUGUAGCAAUUUAUUCUUAUUUUAGACAAUGUUCUAUUUCUUUAUAUAUACCGUGAGUUGUUCUACAAGUUGAUUGGUUGUGUGCUAAAUAUUAUACGGUCCAGUUGUGUAGAGCCAUACCUAAAUUUGUUUCCGUCCUCUGCCACUGUAUGCACUCCUAGCCCUCGCUCUCUGCUCAGGCAGGGAGCCGGUGCUGCCACGUGGCCUUUGACGCAUCGUGAAAGGCACUAGGCAUAGCCUGACACGAGUCUCUGGCGUGGAGCACCCACAUUUAAUACUGGCAGGAGGCACGCCUGUUUGCACAAGUCCACAAGUCACUGACGGCGUGCGCCCCGUAUUAAAUGUAAGCGGCUAGUGCUGUUCGCAAGGCCUGGGCCGCACCUAGGGAUGAAAAUUGUUUUCAAAAAUUCUAUAACUAGGACUUCAUAAUCGUAUCGUUUUCGUAAAGACAAUAUCAUUACCGUAAAGUGACAGACACGUUACCGAGGCAAAGACCAUUGACUCUGUGUCGCGUAUGGGUGGUUCUCAUCAUAACCUCUACUAUUUCCACUACAGAGACAGGUGAUGGAGACAGGCGGAGGGGACCGGACGUUAAGCUCUGGGGACGAGCACUCUCGAGUCCACCUAAGUUAAUCUACACCCACAGCAAUACAACUCACACUGGAGUACGGGCGGUAAUCUAAACCUCUGUGUGUUCUUGUGUUCAUCGAACUUAUCAGAUAAAUCGUAGGCUGCUCUCUGGUCUUAGGAUUAGACAGGUGCAUCCCACCAACCCGCUGUAGUUUACUCGCACAACUAACACAUAGUACUCCUACAUUAGACAUCAAUAUCCCAUCGUGCCGAUCGGUCCAUUGUCCAGUAGUCUUCCUUCCUCCUUCCCUCCCUCACACACGCGCCACAAUCACAGGAAAGAGAUUGAUCGAGGACGCGUACAAUACAGUAGGUUACAUGCACAUUCACAAAAUUCAAGUAGCAGCAGCCCACAUGUCUCUAUCUCGCCCGGGAACCUCGGCCACGUCCAUCCCGUCCCUGCAUGUAUGUGUUUCACGAUCAGCCUUGGGGAAUUGACGAACUGUCUUCAUUAGUCUCUGAGCACAUGUAACAUAUAUAUGCAUGUUUUGGUUUAUAUAUUACUUGUGCAUUGUGACAAUAAUGUACGUGGUCCUAAGAGACCUGGAUGCUCUGUCUCUUCAUGUGAGCAUGCCCCCCAUCCACAUGUGUUUCACGCGUCGUGUUUUACGAUAUGAUGAUGAGCCCCAAAGCCCUUAGGUGCGUUUGGUUGCGAGACAUUCAGAAUAAGCCACUAGCGUCCUCUCUCGUCUCUCUAAUUUUAAGGGAUAACUAAGAUAACACUGGGAUAGUCAUAUUCCAACCCUUGACCCUGAACCAAACAAUCUUAAAUAUUCCAUCCCCGUCUCGUCCUGUCAUUAAUGUAAUCAAAUGCAUCUUUAUAGUGUGUUUGGUUUGUGGAGUCACUCCAUGCUUCAUGAGGUGAUGCAUCAUAAGUUCAUUCCAUCAAUUUUGGUAGAAUCAAACAACUCUUCAUUUAUAUACUAAUUAUUAGCUUAUGAGGAAUGAUGUGGUGAUGGAUCAACUCAUUAUAUUCCACAAACCAAAUAAAAAAGUGAGGAGUGAGAAGAAGAUGGAUCACUUCGUUCCUCAAACCAAACACACUAUUAAUGAAUUAGUUAUUAUGGGAUAGGUACAUGGGUCUAUGCUAAUUGCUAAGUUGUGAGAUGGUAGGCCGACCGUAGGAUAUCCACAUGCAUGACCACACAUCAUUCCCGGCCCCUAUAUAUAUAUCGCACAUGGAUGCAACAGUUGUGCACAUGCACAAUACUACCCUUAUGCUUCUCUGUAAUAUUUUUUUUGACACCACAUCAUCCACUAAAAGAUCGAUUCAAGCAUAUGCUUGUUAUUUGAUUUAUAUACUUGAUUAGCUUAUGGCUCUAUCUCAACUAUAUUUAAGUGUGAGUUUAUUCGUGUGUUUCACCUUCCCACGCUCACGCGCGCCGGUCAGCAAACAAAAAAAUGAAAAAUAGGACGUCAGAUCAAAUCCCUACCCCUUAGAAAGUUUAGGAGGCGCGAACCAAACAGCCUCUUAGUCAUCUAGUCACCAGCUCGUUUAAAGGAUUUUGAGUCAGACUCUUUUCAUUUUGAGUCACGAGCUGCGGUCCAACAACGCGUGAGGCUUGAGCAGAGACAAGUAUGGCGCCUAUGCAUGGACCAGCUGGGCUUAUCGUGAAACACAUGAUGCAUGAAACAUGAGGACGAUGGGGUCAUGGGGACAUGCAUGCAUGUCGUUACGUUCCUGCCAACCAACCACUGCAUAAUGAACACGAUUGAUCCAAUUAAGAUAUGUAAGGAGUGUUUGGUUUGAUGGAUCAACUUAUUUUACUCCACAACUUAUUCCAUUCUACAGACUAAAAAAAUGAUGAGUGAUAAGAUGAUAAACUAGCUUAUUACUCAAACCAAACACCUAGUAGUGUUUGGUCAUGAAAUCACUCGACCCGUGAGUUUCGUGAGGUUGCACAUCAUCAGUUUAUCACCAUCCCAUGAAUUUUGGUAGAAACAAUGAUACAUUCUUCAUGCAUAUAGUAAUAUUAGCUUGUGAUAAAGCAUUUGGUGAUAAAUCAAUCUAUUCUAUUUUACGAACCAAACAAAAAAAGGUGCGAGAAGAAAAUGAAUCACCUCGUUUAUCAAUACAAACACACCCUAGAUAAGGCUUGGCUUGUUGCAUGGUUUUGAUUUACAGAUGAAAUUACAUUUAAGCAAAAUAUUGUUUUAAUGUCAACACAUCCCAAUAAAAAGCUCGAUGGCAAUAUUAUUUUAAAAAAUACUGAUAAGAAGACAUACAUGAUACGACUCUUGUGUCAAAGGACCUAGUUACCCUCCCAUAGUAGUCUAGAUCUGUUGUACAUGACAGAGGAUGAUUUUAUUUUAGUAUGAAAAUGUAUAUUGGUGGCACACUAUAAAUAGGUAUAUAGUACCACUACUACAGGGUUGAGCACUCGUGCACCUAGAGUCUAUCGCUUUCGGAUAGCAGAGCAUUCAAAGGUCGCUUCAUAGAACAUCCUUCGUGGGUCUUGUGUGGAGUCUCCAAAUGUACUAUGGUUUGUAAGCUCAAUAAUGUACUCUUUUGACCCUAACAUCUCAAAGUUGCGAGUGAAAGGCAAGAAGAUAAAUUAUGUGUUUCAUUUACAAUGAUUCAUCACGUAGAAGUUAAAUUGUCCAUCAAUAUCUAUUGGUUUCACUUCAUCCCCCUUUCACCUUCGAGCCCUUUGAAGGUAGUAGGGAGGAUGAACCUUGUCUUAAUAGUGUUGCCCUGUUAUGGUUUCUUGUAGGGACUUUGACACGUACCCAACAUUUGGCACCCACCACCGGUGAACCCACUUACCACCACUAUUAUGCCUCCACAAAGGCGUGGGAUUAAUGUUGUUGGCUCUACUAUAUGGAUCUCGAAGGCCGAGGAAUAACACACAAAAGCUACUCAUCGGCCUGAAGUCACGCGCCGAAGACAUGAGAAAAGAAAAACUCUAAAACAACCACCUCAAUAAGACAAUGUUGAUGAAGAAAUCGAGUGUCUCCAUGACAUUAAGAGAUGUCAAAAUCCAAAAGCAAAAGAUGCUUCACGUCGCCCACCUUCAUUGGCAGACACUACAGGAAACGCCUAAAUUUUCGUGGGCCGAGAUAUUUUCGUCGGCCGGCCCACGAAAAUACUGACAUUAUUUUCGUCGGUCCCUAGGCCGACGAAAAUAAUGCGUAUUUUCGUGGGCCCAUCGACCUGCCGACGAAAAUACAAAAACGUAUUUUCGUCGGUCACUAGGCCGACGAAAAUAACGCUUAUUUUCGUGGGCCAUGGCCAAACCGACGAAAAUACAUCAUUAACCGUACUCUAUUUUCGUCGGCCUAGUGAGGCCGACGAAAAUAGAGGCCCAACAUCGUCGUCCUCGGCCCCGCUCGUUUCAAUCGCGCGUCACUCGUUUCACCCAACGCCGCCGCCCCACGCUCGCCCUCCCCUCGCCGCGCCACCGCCCGCCGCCCGCCGGUGCCCGCGCCGACGCGCCACGCCGCCGCCCCGCGCGCUAAGGGAGCCCGCCGGUGCCCGCGCCGCCGGUGCCACCCCGCCCGCCGGUGCCCGCGCCCGCCCGCCGGUCCCCGCGCCGCCGGUGCCACGCCGCCGCCCCGCGCGCUAAGGGAGCCCGCGCCACCGAGCCCACGCUCACCGCGCCCCUGCACGCCGCCGAGGCCCACGCCCGCCCCUGCACGCCGUGCCCCUACCCCUACACGCUGCGCCCCUCGCCCGUGCACGCCUGCCGAGCCCCACGCCCGCCCCGCCGAGCCCCACGCCGCUGCCCGCACGCCCGUCGUCCGAGGCACCCCGCCCGUCCCUCGCCGCGCCGUCGUCCCGCCCGAGGCGCGCUGCACCGCAUCGCGACGGCCUCCCUGCGCCGUGCCGCCGCCCACACGCCCGCCCGCUCCGUCGCGAAGGUCUCCCAGCUGCGUCGUCGCCCGCCUCGACUCGCCCGCAUUUGCGCCAUCAGGCAAGUAUAAUUGCCGAGGCUCCGAGGUCAUUAAUUUAUAUUAGUCAUCUUGUCGUGUUGUGAUUAGUUUAACUGUUUAUUGCUUUAAUUCAAAUUCAUAUUUUGUCUCCGAGUUAUGUUUUAAUGUUUAGAGUUUAGUUUUAAUCGUUAACCGUAGCGAACCGUAUGCGUCACCCGUUCGGGAACGGCGAACGUCACAUUGGCUUGUGAGGUUUGCCGCUCCGGAAUUGUCCACGUAUUUUGGACAGCCUGAGAGUGUAGGCCGAUGCUUGUGAUUUGUGAUAUGUGUCUUACGAUUUACGCGGAAUUUCGGUUGUGUAACUCAGUUGUUCUCCAACACACCAUGUUCAGGCGUGUGCUUGGAGAGCAGCGGGGUUAUGCUGCCGAAAUUUAGCGACAAUCGUAGGCUACACGUCAUAAAUCACAAGCAUCAGCCUACACUCUUGGGUGGGUUUAGGGCCUUUACCUAAUAGGGAGUUCACCUAAUUAAGCCACGGACGAUCGUUGAUGUUCUUUGACUUUUGUUUAGCCUUUAAAAUGGACGGUGAUCGAAGGGUGAUGUAUGACGGGUGGAGAAAGGAUGGGGCACAUUCAAAUGAAUGGAUGGGUGUAACAAAGGCUUUUCUUGAGCACGCUUUCAAAGAUGCAACUGGUCGUCUAGUGAAGUGUCCUUGCAAUCGCUGCGAGAACAAGUGGCCUCAGAAGAAGGAAGAAAUGGAGAAACACCUUUGCAAAAGUGGGUUUAUGCCGAACUACCUUGUAUGGUACCGGCAUGGAGAGUCUAUUAGACACGUUGACGCGGAGGUGGAGCUUGAUGACGAUCAUGAUAGGAUGGACGAUAUGUUGCAUGAUCUUGGUAGGGAGGUUGAAAUGAACGCUGAGGAGCCGGGGCAGCUUCCACGCGAUGCUCAAGAAUUCUUCCGGCUACUCGCCGCGGGAGAAGAGAGACUGCACGAGCACACUCAGAUGUCAGUUCUUGGGACUCUCACAAGACUAAUGGCGAUAAAGUCGAAGCACAACAUUUCAAACAGUGCUUACAACGACAUCGUCCAACUUAUGGGCGAGGUUCUCCCGGAGAAUCAUAAGUUGCCAAAGAAUAUGUACUUCACAAAGAAGAUGUUGGCUGGUCUUGGGAUGACAUAUGAGAAGAUCGACGUGUGUCCCAAUAGUUGCAUGCUAUUCUUUGAGGAUGAUGACAAGCUUGACCGUUGUAAGCAUUGUAAAGCUUCUAGAUAUGUCGAGGUGACAAAUGAUGAGGGUGAAUUGGUAGUUACGAAGGUCGCAGCUAAGCAACUUCGUCGGUUGCCUAUCAUUCCUCGGCUUUCAAGGCUGUUCCUCAACAAGGAAAUAGCUCUGCAUAUGACGUGGCCAAAGAAUGGUGUACGUCUCGUCACUGAUCCAGACAUAAUGGUCCAUCCGUCGGACGGUGAUGCGUGGAAGGCAUUUGACGAGUUUGAUCCCGAAUUUGCAAACGACCCUAGGAGUGUACGGCUUGGUCUAUCGACGGACGGAUUCACACCUUUCAAUACCAGUGCAAGCCCUUACUCGUGUUGGCCUGUCUUCAUUGUGCCAUAUAAUCUUCCUCCUGAGUUGGUCAAUAAAGAAGAGUUCAUGUUCCUUGCACUAGUCAUCCCAGGCCCCGAGCAUCCAGGGCCAAAGCUGAAUAUGUUUGUUCGCCCUUUAAUCGAAGAGCUGAAACAGUUGUGGAGAGGUGUGAAGGCUUAUGACAGCCAUACUGAAAAGGAGUUUACCAUGCGCGCUGCUUAUUUGUGGUCAGUGCAUGAUCUGCUGGCGUAUGGAGAUUGGUCUGGAUGGUGCGUCCAUGGUCGGUUGUGCUGUCCCAUAUGUAUGAAUGAUACGGAUGCAUUCAGAUUGAAGCAUGGUGGGAAAGUGUCAUUCUUUGAUGCUCAUCGACGUUGGACUCCAUUCAAGCAUGAUUUUAGGAAUUCGCUUACUGCAUUCAGAGGUGGAGCCAAAAUCAGAAAUGGGCCACCAAAGAGGCAAACUGCACCGCAGAUAAUGGCAUGGCAUGCUUGUCUGAAGCAAGGAGAAAAUGAUAGGUUCCAAGGCUACGGGGAGGACCAUAACUGGACCCAUAUUUCAUCAAUAUGGGAGCUUCCGUAUGCAAAAGCCUUGAUCAUGCCGCACAACAUAGACUUGAUGCACCAAGAGCGUAACGUUGCUGAAAGCAUCAUAAGCACAUGUUUCGAUGUGACUGAUAAAACGAAAGAUAAUAUGAAGGCAAGAAAAGACAUGGCUGAAAUUUGUAAGAGGCCGAUGCUCGAGUUGAAAGUAAGCGAUAAAGGGCAUGAAAGUAGGCCGCGAGCUGAUUACUGCCUCAAGCCGGAUGAAAGGAAAGAAAUAUUUAAGUGGUUGAAGAAUCUGAAAUUUCCAGAUCGGUAUGCGGCAAAUCUGAAACGGGCAGUCAAUCUGAAGACCGGUAAAUUGAUCGGUUUGAAAAGCCAUGACUACCAUAUUAUUAUGGAGAGGCUGAUGCCCGUGAUGUUUCGAGGCUAUUUUAAGGAUGAGCUUUGGAGCAUAUUUGCAGAGUUGAGUUACUUCUAUAGGGAAGUAUGCGCAAAGACGGUAUCGAAGAGGUUGAUGCAGAAAUUUGAGAAAGAAAUUCCAAUUCUUAUUUGUAAAUUUGAAAAGGUUUUCCCGCCAGGAUUCUUCAAUGUGAUGCAACAUCUAAUUGUGCAUUUGCCUUGGGAAGCUUUGGUAGGCGGACCAGUGCAAUUCAGGUGGAUGUAUCCUAUAGAAAGGGCGUUGAAAAAGCUCAGGGCGUCUGUUCGGAACAAGGCUAGAGUCGAAGGGUGUAUUGCGGAGGCUUUUGCCCUUAAGGAGAUAUCUCAAUUCUCAACCAGGUAUUUCGCUCGAGCCAACAAUGUGUUUGCGCCUUCAGUGCGACUUCAUGUCGAUAAUGAAUCACCCCAAAGCACCCUUCAAAUUUUUGCGAAUCCGGGUAAAGCAGUUGGAAAAGGGAGUGUACGUCACAUUGAAGCAUCAGAUUUGAACACGCUAAUGCUAUAUAUGUAUAGCAAUAUUGACAGCACACAGGAGGCGUUCGAGUAAGUUUUCCUCAUAAUUACGUCCAUUUUCUCAUCUCAUAAUUUCUAUAGUGUGUAAUCUCCAUGUUUGUAAUAUGUCCAGCAUGUUUGAUGAAGAAUGUUGGAAAUCUACUAGUAAACCUACGACCAUCCAAUUAGAAAAUCUUCGACGUGAUGGGUUGAAAGGUGGACCAAACUUCGUGCAGUGGUUUCGUAAUUAUGUUAGUAAUUGUCAUUCUCUCAUUGUCCAUACUUAAUCUUUGAAUUUUGGACUUGGAAGAUAUAAUGCAUAUACUAAUUACUUGUAUAGGUUUCCAAAAACUCUGUGCACCCGGACUUGCAGCAAAUGGCACAUACCUCUGUGUCCGUCCGAAACUAUACUCGCUAUGAUGUAAAUGGAUAUCGCUUCCGAACCGCGAAAUUGGAGAAGAGUCGACCAUUGGCAGCCACCACCAAUAGUGGUGUGUUGGCAAGUUCAUAUGUUGACGAUGACAAAGUAGUGGACUAUUACGGUGUUCUUCAAAACAUUGUAGAGUUGAUUUUCGAUGGCCCCAAAGAACUUAAAGUCGUGUUUUUCGAGUGCGACUGGUUUGAUGCUCAUAGUGGGACUCGUGUCGACAAGUAUGGUAAUGUCGAGGUGAAGCAUAGCUCUAGGAUUCCGAGCAGUAUGAGCGAUGUUGUCCUUGCAAAUCAGGCAAAACAGGUGUACUACCUGCCAUAUCCUCACCCAAGCCUUAGGGCUUGGUGGGUUGCAAUCAAAGUCAACCCACAAGUCGUCGCUCCAGAGAGUGCUGACUACGUGAGUAUAAUCAGGGACAACGAUGAUGCUGUUUUUCAACCAGAAGCGGCGUCGAAUCAAGACAUAGCUCACCGAUUCCAUGUGACCAAUGGAGAAGGACUUGAAAAUCUCUGUUGCAAUUCAAGCGACUUAAUUGAAGAACCUAGGUCAAAGCGCAAACGACCUGUCGUCGUUAGAAGAUCAGUAAGGAUCCAACGAAAUCAAGAGCGUAUGAAUAAACAACGAGCCGAAGAAGCAUCAUCGGAUGCGGAUGACUUUUGAUUAGUAUGUUUCUUUUAGCUAUGUAUUCCAAUUUCCACAUUAUUAAUUUUCAUAUUAUUUGUUUCAUAUACUGUGGUUUGACAUUAAUUUAUCUACAGUUGAACAUGUUCAAGCAUAGGAGAUCGAGGAGGAGUGGGGGCAGCGCGGCCAGCGAGGACAGCUCGGGCAGUGGGCUUUUUCAGGGCACCUCACAGAGCCGACAAAGGCAGCAACAACUUCUCGACUGUCUAGAUGAAGUGCAGGGUGAGGAGGGUGAGCAGGAGACUCCUCAGCAGGAUGCUCAUGUGCAGGGUGAGGAGGGUGAGCAGGAUGACGAGGGUGAGCAGGAUGAGGAGGUUGACCCAAUGGGGGCAGGCAGCGCGGGCGACGCGUCAGAUGGUUCUACGUCCUUCAGGUAUUAUUAUGCAUAUUACUUUAAUUGAUAUUAGUUUCUAAUCAUUUCAUCAUAUUGAAUUUACUUGUAUACUUAGGUAUAAGAAGAGCAAUGCGCUUGGUCCGAGACCUGCCGAGAG